Molecule: long non-coding RNA, 1773 nt
Organism: Oncorhynchus tshawytscha (Chinook salmon)
Lineage: Eukaryota; Metazoa; Chordata; Actinopteri; Salmoniformes; Salmonidae
Exons: 6
Source: RefSeq, a predicted model, not a curated record
UGAUAUGAAGUCAGCCAGUCAGAAGGCUGGGAAAGCUCUGUCAGAGACUGAAACAAAAGAACUUCUGGACUAUGCAGAGAAGAUUGGUGAUGUUAAUCGACCAGCCUCGGCCCUGGACAUUUAUGUCCUCACAAACAGUGACCUGCUCCAUGGUAAAGGCAUCCAGUUCAAAGUGGUGGAUCAAAAUGGGAAAACGCUCUCAGAGGAGUCCUACCCGGGAACGAACAGCUCAGCCGGCCAAAUCACUCUACGGCUGACCAAAGAGCCUGAGAAAACACACAGUGAGAAAGGAAUCCUCUCUAAAGCAAAAGACAGAAUCCAAGGAGUGGAAAGUCCAUACAGUGGUCACUUUGACAUCAUCCAAGAUGGCAAAGUAAUCCCUGUGCGCUCAGAGAACAAGAACUGCCUGUACCAUGCCCUAGCACAGGCAACAUCUAACAGGUCUGAGGAUGAGAUCACGAGUCAAGCUGUGAAUCUACGAAACAAUGUUAAAGACCAGAUUAAAGGGAGCCUUCAGGCUUAUAGUGAAAUGGUUCAAACCCAGAAGGCCUAUGAUGCACUCGAGAAAAAUCAUGGAAAAUAUGCUAUAGUUGGAGGGGCCAGGAAUAGGAAACGGACGAAUGAUGAUAUGAACAGGAUAUCAGGCCCAUGAAGAAUUGUCCUUAUAGUUCCUCAGGGAUAAAUGAGUAUGACAUAGCCUUUACGUACCACCUUGGAUUAGUUGGUCCUUAUAAAAGCGUCAAAAACACCAAACUUUUCUCUGACAACAUGGGGGAAAGAGGCAUUGUGGAGGCAGACCAUAUCCCACCAAAGAAUUCCCUGAAGCUGGCCAGAGACCAAAAAUCUCAGAUGAAAAAAUUUUCAACAGAAGAAUCCGAAGCUUUAUGAUAUGAUUUAACAGCAUUGAAUCAGAUCAAAAUGGAGGGAACCUGCUCACAAUGCGGGUUCUCAAACAGCAUCACAGGAAUGCUCUAACCACUGGAAGGAGUAAGACAUCUGUCAUCUGCAGGAAGCGGAGAUGUGGAGAAAUCACUGAAGUUAUCUUUCAUCAUGGCUCAUCCUAUUGCUUCCGACCAGCUCAGAGACAAAGCAGGAAAGCCCAAUAAACUUACCCUGGGAUCCAUUGAUUUAUCUCCUGAAGGAACAGUGUUCUACUAUAAAGCUGGCUUCAAUCAGAUGCUGAAUCACCAUAGUAAAGAGGGGAUCAUCGACCAGAAUCAGCAGGCGAGGCUGAAGUCCUGGGUGUCCGAUAAGAAGUACAUGGACCCGGACACCCCAGAGUACAACGACAUCCUUGCAGCCAUCCAGUAACACAACCUCCACUGGAGACAUGUUAGGAAAGGGAUAAAAUCAUACUUUUAUAUUCAGCAUAUGAAUAUCAUGAAUUUAGUAUAAUCAUAAGGUGAAUAAUUUCUUGUUGAACCUUAGGUGAAUGACAAUUUGACCUUUCUACUGCUGCAUAAUUACUAUACUUUUUUGUUUGUGCUUCCACAAGGUAGCCUAUGGCUUUUCAAAAUAGAUACAGUAACUUAUGUGCAAGGUGCAUGAGAUGUAAGCUUGCUAAAACAACUAUAGGUUCUUUACAGUAAACUGUAAAUUGACUUUUGAUUUUGUUUCAUUCAAUACUGUAUACUAUACUGGAUGCCAAAGUUAAUUUCUCAAUGUCAUAAUAUUUACUGAUGUCAUAAUAUUUAAUGUUUGUAGUUUCUUAGUGUUCCAUUUUAGUGUAAUGAUCAUGAUAACCUUUUAAAAUCAAAUCAGAAUGUAUUUGUC